RNAcentral lists this ribosomal RNA (407 nucleotides) under Austrodomus zuluensis. Its description in RNAcentral is "partial 16S ribosomal RNA". Lineage: Eukaryota; Metazoa; Arthropoda; Arachnida; Araneae; Prodidomidae. The record is from RNAcentral.
UGCUCAAUGAUAAUUUAUAUAGCCGCAAUACGUGCUAAGGUAGCAUAAUCAUUAGUCUUUUAAUUAAAGACCAGUACAAAAGAUUAAACAUUUUAAUUAUUCUCAAAAAUUAAUAUAUUUAACUUUUUUUAAAUAUAAUAAAAUAUUUAUAAAAAAGAAAGACGACAAGACCCUUUUAAACUUUACUUUAGUUUAACUGGGGCAGUUAAUUAAUUAUAACUUUAAUUAUACUAUUUUUCAAAUUUGACCCAUUUUAAAUGAUUACUUGAUCAAGUUACUAUAGGGAUAACAGCGUAAUAUUAUUAUAAUAUAAUAUCUAAUAAUUCUUUGCGACCUCGAUGUUGACUAAUAUUCUCUCAUACAUAAAAGUUAGAAAAGAAAGUCUGUUCGACUUUUCAUUAAUUACA